Small nucleolar RNA from Otolemur garnettii (small-eared galago), 110 nucleotides. The record is from Ensembl. NCBI's taxonomy places the organism in Eukaryota, Metazoa, Chordata, Mammalia, Primates, Galagidae.
ACUCUCCCAGCUCUGCAUGGUUACACUUGGCCUUACUCAUGUGACUUUCAUAAUGUGGAGAGUUCUCAGGAUGUCAGGUUGGCCUCUCUUUCCUUGAGGGGUCUAAAGGA